RNAcentral lists this ribosomal RNA (436 nucleotides) under Streptococcus mutans. Its description in RNAcentral is "bacterial SSU rRNA". It matches the Rfam family "Bacterial small subunit ribosomal RNA", at positions 28 to 444 of the family's 1533-position model. The record is from RNAcentral. Lineage: Bacteria; Bacillati; Bacillota; Bacilli; Lactobacillales; Streptococcaceae.
GACGAACGCUGGCGGCGUGCCUAAUACAUGCAAGUGGGACGCAAGGAAACACACUGUGCUUGCACACCGUGUUUUCUUGAGUCGCGAACGGGUGAGUAACGCGUAGGUAACCUGCCUAUUAGCGGGGGAUAACUAUUGGAAACGAUAGCUAAUACCGCAUAAUAUUAAUUAUUGCAUGAUAAUUGAUUGAAAGAUGCAAGCGCAUCACUAGUAGAUGGACCUGCGUUGUAUUAGCUAGUUGGUAAGGUAAGAGCUUACCAAGGCGACGAUACAUAGCCGACCUGAGAGGGUGAUCGGCCACACUGGGACUGAGACACGGCCCAGACUCCUACGGGAGGCAGCAGUAGGGAAUCUUCGGCAAUGGACGAAAGUCUGACCGAGCAACGCCGCGUGAGUGAAGAAGGUUUUCGGAUUCGUAAAGCUUCUGUUGUAAGUC